GAGUAAAGAUUUCGGUCGCUUUGGGAGGAGCUCGCUUACUAUCAGCUUGUUGGUAGGGUAAUGGCCUACCAAGGCUAUGACGGUUAGGGGGUGUGAGAGCAUGACCCCCAGCAUUGGCACUGAAACACUGGCCAAACACCUACGGGUGGCUGCAGUCGAGAAUCUUCCACAAUGGGGGAAACCCUGAUGGAGCGAUGCUGCGUGCGGGAUGAAGGCCUUCGGGUUGUAAACCGCUUUUGUAGGGGACGAAAUUUUUGACGGUACCCUUUCGAAUAAGAGGUUGCUAACUCUGUGCCAGCAGCAGCGGUAAUACAGAGACCUCAAGCGUUAUCCGGAUUUACUGGGCGUAAAGCGUCUGUAGGGGGUUUAUUAAGUUCCAAGUAAAAUUUCAAGGCUCAACUUUGAAUUCGCUUGGAAAACUAAUAAACUGGAGUCUAGCAGAGGUGCAUGGAACUUGUGGUGUAGGAGUGAAAUCCGUUGAUAUCACAAGGAACACCAAAGGCGAAGGCAUUGCACUGGGCUAGCACUGACCCUGAGAGACGAAAGCGUGGGGAGCAAAACGGAUUAGAUACCCGUGUAGUCCACGCCCUAAACGAUGAAUGCUAAAUGUUUGGGGAUUCGACCCCCUGGGUGUUACAGCUAACGCGUUAAGCAUUCCGCCUGGGAAGUACGGCCGCAAGGCUAAAACUCAAAGGAAUAGACGGGGAUCCGCACAAGCGGUGGAGCGUCUGGUUUAAUUCGACAGUAAGCGUGGUACCUCACCAGGGUUUGACAUCCCUUGACAGCCUUGGAAACAAGGUUUCCUUCGGGCAAGGUGACAGGUGCUGCAUGGUCGUCGUCAGUUCGUGCCGUGAGGUGUUCCGUUAAGUCGGGAAACGAACGAAACCCCUAUUGCAUGUUACAAUUUCUCAUGCAAGACUGCCCGGAUAUACUGGGAGGAAGGUGGGGAUGACGUCAGAUCUGCAUGGUCCUUAUACCCUGGGCGACACAGGCGCUACAAUGGCAGAGACAAAGGGUUGCAAAACCGCAAGGUGAAGCUAAUCCCAAAAACUUUGUCUAAGUUCGGAUUGAAGGCUGCAAUUCGCCUUCAUGAAGCUGGAAUCGCUAGUAAUCGUGAAUCAGCCACGUCACGGUGAAUAUGUUCCCGGAUCUUGUACUCACCGCCCGUCACACCAAGAGAGUUGGUAGCUCC
This 1192-nucleotide ribosomal RNA is filed under the name uncultured organism. RNAcentral's name for it is "bacterial SSU rRNA". It matches the Rfam family "Bacterial small subunit ribosomal RNA", at positions 199 to 1421 of the family's 1533-position model. The record is from RNAcentral.